GCCCUAGGGACUCAGUUCCAGUG
This 23-nucleotide microRNA is filed under the name Pteropus alecto (black flying fox). RNAcentral describes it as "pal-miR-146b-3p". Its record names the gene pal-miR-146b-3p. Lineage: Eukaryota; Metazoa; Chordata; Mammalia; Chiroptera; Pteropodidae. The record is from miRBase by way of RNAcentral.